UCUCCGAACGAAUAAAAAAAAGGAAGGUUCAAGUUUGAACAAGAAGAAGCAGUCGAAGGAGGGGAAGUUUAAAAAGAACAAAAGUAUGCAGGUGAUCAAUGCAGUGUCAGUGGUUCGAAUGGCAACGAGAGGCCUCAAUUCCCUAGAGGCAGAAAUAGCAUUUGGGACAGUCACUUGGUUCGUCUAUGCCGGGAUCUCAUGUUUUUUAGUUCUGUUCGCCGGAAUUAUGUCCGGAUUGACAUUAGGCCUCAUGUCUUUGGGCCUCGUUGAUCUCGAGAUACUUCAGCGAAGUGGCACCCCCGCUGAGAAAAAGCAAGCAGCUACAAUACUUCCCGUUGUUCAGAAGCAACACCAGCUUCUUGUGACCCUACUUCUAUGUAAUGCCGCUGCCAUGGAGGCCCUACCCAUAUACCUCGACAAAAUGUUCAACCAAUAUGUGGCCAUUAUACUAUCAGUAACUUUUGUCUUGGUGUUUGGAGAGGUUAUUCCUCAAGCAAUAUGUACCAGGUAUGGACUUGCGGUGGGUGCAAACUUUGUUUGGCUUGUUCGUGUUCUGAUGGUCAUAUGCUACCCAAUUGCAUACCCCAUAGGGAAGAUCCUAGACUGCGUACUAGGACAUAAUGAAGUACUAUUUAGACGAGCUCAGUUAAAAGCUCUUGUUUCUAUCCACAGUCAAGAGGCCGGCAAGGGAGGUGAACUUACACAUGAUGAAACAACAAUCAUUAGUGGAGCAUUAGAUUUAACUGAGAAGACUGCUAAGGAGGCCAUGACACCCAUUGAGUCAACAUUUUCUUUGGAUGUCAAUUCAAAGCUGGACUGGGAAGCAAUGGGUAAAAUUCUUGCUCGAGGUCAUAGCCGAGUUCCAGUCUACUCAGGCAGUCCGAAGAAUAUUAUUGGACUUUUACUGGUAAAAAGUCUUCUUACUGUUCGCGCGGAAACCGAGACACCAGUUAGUGCUGUUUCUAUCCGCAGAAUUCCGCGAGUUCCAGCUGAUAUGCCACUAUAUGACAUACUAAACGAGUUCCAAAAGGGUAGCAGUCAUAUGGCUGCAGUAGUGAAGCUUAAAGGGAAAACCAAAAAACCUCCAUUGGUAGUUGAGGAAGAGAAAUCUGACGACAGUGCAGUCACCAAUGGACAUCCUAGUGUAACUACCUCUCUUUUGAUGGCAAAGGAUGAAAAGUCAGAUAGUGUCGUCGUUGAUAUUGAGAAGGCUACAGUACCGGCAGUGCAGUCAUCUGGUGAUGCUCUGAUAAAUGGAUCGCAUCAGUCGUCAGAUGAUAUUGAGGAUGCUGAAGUAAUAGGUAUUAUCACUUUGGAAGAUGUUUUUGAAGAACUUUUACAGGAGGAAAUAGUAGACGAGACUGACGAGUAUGUUGAUGUACAUAAGAGGAUACGUGUGGCUGCAGCAGCAGCAGCUUCAUCAGUGGCACGAGCUCCAUCAAUUCGGAGGUUAACAGCCCAAAAGGGAGUCGGAGGGCAAAGCAAGCAAGGACAAAACCCCAAAAAGUUUAGCGAGGACAUUUCCAACUCAAGAAGGACGCAAGGGAGUCUUGGAGAGCCUCUUCUUGGGAACAAGAGAUAAAGAGUCGUAGUUUGGUAGCCUCAGAGCCUCAGUAAUGUUGAGAGGGCAAGGAACAAGUCUCACUGCAAGCUGAUACAUAGUUUUAAAAUUAGGUUGACAUCCAUCAUAAUAUUAAACAAGUUGUCAAAAAAGUUCUUCUUAAUAUGCAUGACAUCAAGAUUAUGCCGAAGAAGAUUGUACUUCCAAUAAGGAGACAAGACGGACGGUGGCUCCUCAUAAUCAAUUUUGUUCUUCGUAAAUGCACUAGUAUUUCUCUUGAACUCAUGAUCCAUUGGCAAGAAGUAUCGAUGACAGUCAAACCAUGUGUUUUUAACUCCAUGUUUCAAAGUGAAUGCCUUUAUAUCUUCCAUACAAGUCGGACAAGCUAAUUUUUCGGCAGUUGACCACCCGGACAUCAUUCCAUAAGCAAGAAAAUCAUUUAUAGUCCACAUCAAAGCAGCACGCAAUAUGAAGUUUUGCUUAGUUAAUACAUCAUAUGUUUCCACACCUUCAUGCUACAACAACUUCAACUCAUCAAUCAAAGGCUGCAUGUAAGCAAUUAACAUUUUUGGAUUGCGUGGACCUGGAACAAUACAAGUUAGAAGCAAAUAUGGACUUGUCAUAUAUAACUCGGGUGGAAGAUUAUACGGCGUAGCAAACACCGUCCAACAUGAAUAUGAUGCAACAGAGACUGCAAAUGGAGUGAAUCCAUCAGCGCAUAAUCCCAACCUAAUGUUUCUUGGUUCAUUAGUAAAGUCCAGGGACACCCUAUCAAAUGCUUUCAUGCUUCUCCAUUUGAUGGAUGACAUAGAACACCAUAUGUCCUUCUAUGCUCAUAGUGUCAUCUCAUAUGGGGAGCGGAGCUCAUUGAUGCGCACAACCUCUUUUACCUUGGUAUACGGGGUAAGUAGUGCAUCGCCUUCACUGGGAUCUUCUUCUUUUUAUCAUUUAUGACAUCCUUGUAACGAG
Nicotiana tabacum (common tobacco) is the source of this 2530-nucleotide non-coding RNA. The record is from RefSeq and is a predicted model, not a curated record. NCBI's taxonomy places the organism in Eukaryota, Viridiplantae, Streptophyta, Magnoliopsida, Solanales, Solanaceae.